CGUAGGCGGCUUGGUAAGUCAGAUGUGAAAACCGGGGGCUCAACCCGCGGCCUGCAUCUGAAACUGUCAGGCUUGAGUCUGGUAGAGGAAAGUGGAAUUCCCAGUGUAGCGGUGAAAUGCGCAGAUAUUGGGAGGAACACCAGUGGCGAAGGCGGCUUUCUGGGCCACGACUGACGCUGAGGCGCGAAAGCUAGGGGAGCAAACAGGAUUAGAUACCCUGGUAGUCCUAGCCGUAAACGAUGGGCACUAGGUGUGGGGGGUCAUCAACUCCCUCCGUGCCGCAGCUAACGCAUUAAGUGCCCCGCCUGGGGAGUACGGCCGCAAGGCUAAA
Molecule: ribosomal RNA, 331 nt
Filed under: uncultured bacterium
Lineage: Bacteria
Description: bacterial SSU rRNA
Rfam family: Bacterial small subunit ribosomal RNA
Source: RNAcentral